RNAcentral lists this transfer RNA (77 nucleotides) under Bacteroides sp. RNAcentral describes it as "tRNA-Asp". It matches the Rfam family "tRNA". From Rfam's summary of the family: Transfer RNA (tRNA) molecules are approximately 80 nucleotides in length. Their secondary structure includes four short double-helical elements and three loops (D, anti-codon, and T loops). Further hydrogen bonds mediate the characteristic L-shaped molecular structure. tRNAs have two regions of fundamental functional importance: the anti-codon, which is responsible for specific mRNA codon recognition, and the 3' end, to which the tRNAs corresponding amino acid is attached (by aminoacyl-tRNA synthetases). tRNAs cope with the degeneracy of the genetic code in two manners: having more than one tRNA (with a specific anti-codon) for a particular amino acid; and 'wobble' base-pairing, i.e. permitting non-standard base-pairing at the 3rd anti-codon position. Lineage: Bacteria; Pseudomonadati; Bacteroidota; Bacteroidia; Bacteroidales; Bacteroidaceae. The record is from RNAcentral. RNAcentral also lists the same sequence under 11 other names.
GGCCCGGUAGUUCAGUUGGUUAGAACGCCAGCCUGUCACGCUGGAGGUCGACGGUUCGAGCCCGUUCCGGGUCGCCA